UACGUAGGGGGCUAGCGUUGUCCGGAAUCAUUGGGCGUAAAGAGCGUGUAGGCGGUCCGGUAAGUCCGCUGUGAAAGUCGGGGGCUCAACCCUCGAAUGCCGGUGGAUACUGUCGGGCUAGAGUACGGAAGAGGCGAGUGGAAUUCCUGGUGUAGCGGUGAAAUGCGCAGAUAUCAGGAGGAACACCAAUGGCGAAGGCAGCUCGCUGGGACGGUACUGACGCUGAGGCGCGAAAGCGUGGGGAGCAAACAGG
Molecule: ribosomal RNA, 253 nt
Filed under: uncultured bacterium
Lineage: Bacteria
Description: partial 16S ribosomal RNA
Rfam family: Bacterial small subunit ribosomal RNA
Source: RNAcentral